UUUUUUUUUUUUUUUUUUUUUUUUUGCUUUUUUGGGCCACAUCUUCAGCAUAUGGAAGCUCCCAGCUAGGGGAUUAAUCAGAGCUGCAGCUGCCAGCCACAGCCACAGCCACAGCAAAGCCGGAUCAGAGCCAUCACAGCUUGCAGCAGCCCCACAUCCUUAACCCAAUGGGCAGGGCCAGGGAUCUAACCAGCAUCCUCAAGGAUACUAGUCAGGUUCAUAACCUGCUGAGCCAUAACGGGAACUCCUAUGUUACAUAAAUUUUGUCAAAAAAAAAAAAUUAGAAAGAAUGAUGAGAGUCCCUUACACAUCACUGCUCUGGAUUUAAGCUGGUGUUUGGGACUCCACGGUGAUGGUAAGGACAUGAUUUGGGAAUGGGUGGCAAAAAAUCUGAAUAAAACCCAGGCUCUGUCCUCAAGAUGCUCACACCCAGUUGGAGGACACAGACACAUACUUCACUAAUGAGAACACAAAUCAGAAGAUAAUAAGCAUCACAGUGGAGAGAGAUAAUUCUGCUGGAGUACAAAGGAAGAUGUGAUUUUUUUUCUGCCUGAGGAAUAUUGCAAAGCUUUGCAGAAGAGGAGAUAUUUCAGCUGGGUUUUUAAGGAUCAGUAGGAGGCGUUCCCAUCCUGGCUCAGUGAAAAUGAAUCUGACUAGCAUCCAUGAGGUGGCAGGUUCCAUCCCUGGCCUCGCUCAGUGGGUUAAGGAUCUGGCAUUGCCAUGAGCUGUGGUGUAGGUCGAAGACAUGGCUCAGAUCCUGCAUUGCUGUGACUGUGGCAUAGGAGGAAGGUGUAGCUCCGAUUUGAACCCUAGCCUGGGAACUUCCAUAUGCCAUGGGUGUGGAACUAAAAAGACAACAACAACAACAACAAUAAUAAUAAUAAAAUCAGUAGGAGUCUGACAAGCAGAGAAGGUGGUACAUUCCAGGCAGAGGGACCAGCUGAAUAAAGGCCUGGAGUUGUAUAAAGCAUUCAGAGAUGUACCAGAUGGUAUGAUUUGAGCUAUGAUUUUUCCCUUCUAGUGUUCUGCCACUGCUUUUUAUUAAACAUCACAACCAUGGCCUUUGAUCCUAGGUUCUUGCUUUGCAGAAUAUGAGCCUUCAAUUUAAAAACAGAGAAACGAAAAUGUGGAUCUUGAGCCUGGGUGGAGUUUAGCAGGGUCCCCCAGGUUCCCUUGCUCCGUCCACAUCCCCACCCCCUACCCCCUGUGGUUGUCUGAGCACCUGGAGUCUAUUUGGCAGCUGCUCUGCUCCUGCCCUCUGUCCCUCCAAUCCAAGAGCCCCUCCUGGGUGCAAUGAAUGGCUCCAUCCUGCUGGACGGAUGGGCCCUUGUUCCCUCUUGAAAACGUCCUUGCUCGACUGGUGGCUUCUUCACCCCAGCGCUGCCCUCCCUCUGGUGCACCCAGAGGACGAUGCCAGGGAGGAAACAAGAGACCCAUCCUAUUCCCUCAGGAAGAGUCAGCCCAUCUGGCUCCUUCAGCGGCUGCUUUGUUUGGCUUCUAUUUGGAUUGUGAACCCAUUGUUUUGUGUGGAAGUGGGAAAACCAGGACUCGAAACAAGUACUCUUAUAGGAGGAGUUUGGUGCUUAAUGAAUUAUUCAGUGAGCAGGGCUAAACCCAAAGCGUUCUGGAAAGAAAGAAAAUUUCGGCAUGGAUCCCUGAGACCCCCACUGCUGCCCAGAUGAACAGUUAACCGAAUGGUCCUCCCUGCUAUUUGCUCCCUGAUUCACUAAGCAUAAGCCUGGUUUAUUGUGUUUACAAUUGCGCAUCUUCAGAGCAUAACUGAUUCAUUGCAAUAAGAGUGCACUGGACAGUAGAGGCGUCUCUGAACAGGCUUUUCCCUAAAGCUAGGAAUAAUCCCUGCACCAAAGAUCCAGUCUGAUGAACUAGUCAGUGUUCCCAAACCUCUUAUGCUUGGGGGAGAUCAGGACACGGAGACAUCUGGUCUCGGGCAGCUUUGCCCAGGAUAGAAUAUUGUUCUCCCCAGGGGGGAUCUUGUUAGCAAAUGAGGCUGGCGUGCCUGUCUGAGACGGAGGCUCCUCUCUGUGAGCCCUGGGUAGGGAGUCGGGGACUGGACCGGGGAGCCCUGGAACUAGGCUCCCUCCAAAACCCUGAUAAAAAGAAACCUGGAUUUAACCCUGACUUCUCCUUGAACCAGCUGAUUAAUUUUUUUUUUUUUUCUAUCAACUUCAAUUCCCUUGUCUCCAGCUCUCAGAGGCAUGAAUGCUCUGACUGUGCAGACAAGAAGCAGAUGGGCGGUGGAAGGGUCAGUCUGUACGGGUAGGGGCGAGGAGAGGGGAGGGGAAGCAGGCCUGAAUGUCAUUACUUGAAGGGGUCAGGGGGGUCAGUGACAGUGGCAAGGAACAGAUUUUUCCAGCCGCUUUCAGGCUGAGAUUUGCACUGCAUAAUCUGAAUGCUUUUAUCUGUUUCUGAAAAUAGACAGGAAUUUUUUCCACAGGCUGCUCCAAUCUGGCUGGGGAGACGUGAGGGAGGAUGGCCGGGAGACAGUUGUAUGUGGUCCAGUGAGUACGUUGUGUGACCCCUACCCCGCCACGGCCCCCCAAACAGCCCUUCUCCAUAUUGGUUCCCUGAGUCACGUUAUCUUAAUGUCCCUUGAAGUAGGGAGUCAUAAAUGCUGAGAAUACUUUCCAUUCCCAAUUUUG
RNAcentral lists this long non-coding RNA (2660 nucleotides) under Sus scrofa (pig). RNAcentral's name for it is "lncRNA (ENSSSCG00065017242.1)". The record is from RNAcentral. Lineage: Eukaryota; Metazoa; Chordata; Mammalia; Artiodactyla; Suidae.